UACCAGCUGAUAUGGUGGUGAAUGGUAUUAUCGUAGCCAUGGCUGCACGUAGGAAGCAAUCUUCAGAAACCAUUUAUCAUUUAGGAUCUUCAUUGAGAAACCCUGUGAAAUUAUCAAAUAUUCAUGAUUUUAGCUUUCGUUAUUUCUCUGCAAAUCCAUGGAUUAACAAGGAUGGAAUGCCAGUCAAGAUUCCCAAAGGCACCGUCUUUUGCUCCAUGGCCAGCUUCCAUAUGUACAUGGCAAUUCGUUUUCAGCUGCCAUUGAAGGCAUUGCAAGUUGCAAACACUAUGGUGUUCCAGAAAUAUCAGGGCACGUAUGCAACUCUUGAUAGGAAAAUAAAACUAGUGAUGAGAUUGAUAGAACUUUAUAAGCCUUAUGUGUUCUUUGAGGGCAUCUUCGAUGACAUGAACUCAGAGAAGUUGAGAGUAGCUGCAAAAGAGAAAGUUCCUGAAGAAGCAGAUGGCUUCAACUUUGAUCCCACAGGGAUUGACUGGGACGAUUACAUGAUGGGUGUUCACAUUCCAGGUCUUGUUAAAUACGUAUUGCUUUGUAUCACUGGUAUUGCUUCCCUAAGAUUGUGCUUUAAGAGUUAAAUACUCCCUAAUAGUUAAUUAUGGUGAAAUUCAUAUAGUAAUUAAUGAUUAAAAUUAAAUUAUUCAAUAAAUUGCAUUUUAAAAUUUCUCCAUUUUAGUUGCAGACAAUGUCUCCUAAAGAAUUCAUUUAGAAUGAAUUCUACAAAACCAAACAGGGUGUUCAUGUCCCCAACACAAGGCCUUACUGAUUAUUGAGAUAAAUAUUCAGUUGCAGGAAAAACAUACAUAGACUAAUAGUUUAUUAUGGAUUCAAGAUAUAAAUAUGUAAUUCUCAAUUAUUUAAUAUAUGAGUUUCACUAUGCAUAAUGCGCCUUGAACCAUGAUAAACUAGGUUUAGGUAAAAAUUUUUCCUGAUUUACACGCAUUACAAUAAUAGAAUUAAAAGUGGCUCAAGGGACAAUUGCAAAAAAUCCCCA
RNAcentral lists this unclassified non-coding RNA (1009 nucleotides) under Hevea brasiliensis (rubber tree). The record is from RNAcentral. Lineage: Eukaryota; Viridiplantae; Streptophyta; Magnoliopsida; Malpighiales; Euphorbiaceae.